Non-coding RNA from Halogranum salarium B-1, 64 nucleotides. Lineage: Archaea; Methanobacteriati; Methanobacteriota; Halobacteria; Halobacteriales; Haloferacaceae. The record is from Rfam.
ACGGGAACAGCACGGCCGUAACUCUGACUCGCCUGUGUUCGCAGGCUUGGGAUUACGGAGGUGC